GUGAUAGUUCAGUCAGUAGAGCCCGAGACUCUUAAUCUCAGGGUUGUGGAUUUGAGCCCCAUGUUGGACA
RNAcentral lists this transfer RNA (70 nucleotides) under Podarcis lilfordi (Lilford's wall lizard). Its description in RNAcentral is "tRNA.Lys". Lineage: Eukaryota; Metazoa; Chordata; Lepidosauria; Squamata; Lacertidae. The record is from RNAcentral.